UACGGAGGAUGCAAGCGUUAUCCGGAAUGAUUGGGCGUAAAGGGUCCGCAGGUGGCAAUGUAAGUCUGCUGUCAAAGAAUGAGGCUCAACCUCAUCAAGGCAGUGGAAACUACGUAGCUAGAGUACGGUCGGGGUAGAAGGAAUUCCUGGUGUAGCGGUGAAGUGCGUAGAGAUCAGGAAGAACACCGGUGGCGAAAGCGUUCUGCUAGGCCUGUACUGACACUGAGGGACGAAAGCUAGGGGAGCGAAUGGG
This 253-nucleotide ribosomal RNA is filed under the name uncultured bacterium. RNAcentral describes it as "partial 16S ribosomal RNA". It matches the Rfam family "Bacterial small subunit ribosomal RNA", at positions 524 to 776 of the family's 1533-position model. The record is from RNAcentral.